GCCCCAGAGCCUUUCUCUCUCUUCUUAUUGGUUGUGCUGAAACCAGAUUUCAGCAAGAAAGUUUUUAAAGAGACCCUUGUCCUACUUCUGUUCUCAAGGUGUUGAGAAUAAUCAUCCAUCAAGCAAUGGUUCUGCAAGGAAACUAGCACCCCAGAGAACCAGAAGGUCGCUGAUCUAUCUUCAACUCUGUGUGGAUAUUCAUAAAGGUCAGGUACUUGUGUGGCU
This 225-nucleotide long non-coding RNA is filed under the name Elaeis guineensis (African oil palm). RNAcentral describes it as "long non-coding RNA (EGUI_LNC046822)". Lineage: Eukaryota; Viridiplantae; Streptophyta; Magnoliopsida; Arecales; Arecaceae. The record is from RNAcentral.